GUUCAGGAAAUCAUCAAACAAAUGAGAAUGCUUACUCCACACAUUUAUGUGUCCACAGCUGCCCUUUAAUGAUGUUGUAUCUGUUACCACUGUGGUUUCAAGUAACAUUUUUCUCCUUUCACUUUGGAUGAUGUCCUCCAACAAAUAUUUGCAUGUAAACAGUAAAAAGAAAAAUAUAUUUUUCUGAUCUAAUUGUAUGAUACUUUUGUUUUCUCCUCCUCAAGUUUAAAGAUGCUCAAUGACUGUAGGAAGAAGAUACUGGAUUUUCAAAAUAACAUUUGAUGAAAGCAAUUGCCAUGCAGUGAUGAGAACAGGUUUGGGAGGCUCAAGACCUGGUGUGACAUCCUGACUCCAAUUGGUUCAUAUGAGGAGACAAGGAGAAGAUGUCCAUCUGGAAACCUUCAGGAAGUGGAUCUUCACCAGACACCAGAUCUGCUGGUACUUUGUUCUGGACUUCUCAGUCUCCAGAACUGUGAGAAAUAAGUGUCUGUUGUUUAAGCCAUUCAAUCAAUAGCAUUUUGUCAUAUCAUCCUAAACUGUCUCGUGGUGUUUGUAUUGUUUCAACCUAAAGCCCUGAAUGAUGUGAAUGGUUAACCAUUUAUAAACUACUGAAGUUGACUCAGCACAUUAUCUUGUACAUGGUGGACCACUCAUACCAGAGGUUAGUAGGUUUUUCCAGUUAAACCUUCUAAUCAUGCAGUAAACAUUGUCUGCGCACCAAUAAGUGCCAGGUACUCUUCUCGGUGCUGGGGAUGCAAAAUGACACAAACCUCAGUCUUGCCCAGGAGCUCAUCAUCUCCUAAAAAUAAACAAACAAAAAAGCAAAUCUAUACAUUUGUGUGUUAGUACUAAAACAGAGGUAUGGUCCAGGAUUUAUGUAAACUGAUGACCUUAGUUCUUUGUUGGUUACACACAUUGAAAAUAUAUUCUUACAGUUUAUGGUCUUUUGUUUCACUUUUUAAGGUGUCUUUUAUGUAGAGUUCAUUAUGUUGUAUGUAUUUAUAAUCCAGGAUUAUUAAAAUGCUUGCCUAUAUGUUUUUUGCCUAAAUGUUUUAGGUUUUCUCUAUAUUAAAAAAUUAAUUUAGCAAAUGUUUUCUUGAAUCUAUUGAAGUGAUUUUAUGGUUCUUCUCCUUUAAUGGACUAAUGAAGAUAAUUACUUUAAAAGAUUUUUAAAUAUUAAACUAUACCAGCAUUCCUGGCAUACACCCAAAUGAGUCCUGAAUCUUUCAUAUAUUACUGGAAUCAAUUUGUUAAUAUUUUGUUUAAAAUUUUUACAACUAUGUCCAUAACUUGAAUUGUUGUAUAAUUUUCAUUUAUCAUCUGUCUUGGCUUGGUUUGAUACCAAGAUUAUCUCAGCUUCAUAAAAUAAGUUCAAGUGAAUCAUCUGUUUCCAAGUUCUCUGGAACAGUUUGUGUAAGUGUGGAAUAGUUCUUAUCUUAUUUCCUGAAACUUGACUCUAAAACCUUCCGAGUAAGUUGCCAUUUUUGUGAGUAGAUUCAGCCAUUUCUCUCUUAAGAAUCAUUGUAUCUCUGCUAUAAUUACAUAUUGAAUAUAAAAAGCAUUAAUUGCACCACUUACUAUACACCUCCCCACUGCUCUUAUUCUUCAUUCUAGUUCUUCUCUCAGCAAUUCACCUUCCUUAUGUGUUUUUCAGAAAUAGCCAUUUUCAGGAGAAUGGUGUGAACCUGGGAGGCGGAGCUUGCAGUGAGCCAAGAUCAGGCCACUGCACUCCAGCCCGGGCGACAGAGCAAGACUCCAUCUCAAAAACAAAACAAAAUAAAAACAAAACAAAAACAAACAAACAAAAACAAAACCAGAAAUAGCCAUUUUAUGUACUGUCUGAAGUGAUCUCAUCCAAACUUGUUUUUUUCUAUACAACUAAAGAAACUGAGAGAAUGGAGCAUAUCUGGGUUCAGGAAAUGACCCUUCAAUAUAUUCAGGGCACUGAUGGUUCCCAUCUUACAGAACACAUGCACUAUCCAAUUCCUGAGUGUCCAUUGAGAGAAUAUAAGGUCUUUUCUGCAAAAUCAUUUGCCAAUAUUCAAAGAGCACUUCUUAUACACAGGCUCAGAGCCAGGAUCUGGGAUGAGUAAAGAAGGUACAUGAUCCUCCUCCACCAUUAGCCUUCAAUGUUUCACAGUGUAUUAGUUCAUUCUCACAUUGCUAUAAAGAUAGUACCUGAGACUGGGUAAUUUAUAAAUAAAAGAGAUUUAAUUGACUCACAGUUCUGCAUGGCUGGGGAAGCCUCAGGAAACUUAUAAUCAUGGCAUAGCACAAAGGAGAAGCAAGGAGCUACUUCACAAGGCAGCAGGAGAAAGAGUGAGUGCACAGAGGAAACUGCCAUUUUUAAAACCAUCAGGUCUCACAAGAACUUCUUCACUAUCAUAAGAAUGGCAAGGGGGAAACCACUCCCAUCAUCCAAUCACCUACCACUAGGUUCCUCCAUUGACACAUGGAGAUUACAAUUUGAGAUGAGACUUGAGUGGACACGGAUCCAAACCAUAUCAUUCUGCCCUUGACCCCUCCAAAAUCUCAUUUUUUUUUUCACAUUUGAAAACCAAUCAUGCCUUCCCAACAGUCCCUCAAGAUCUUAACUCAAGCCAGGAUUAACUCAAAAGUCUAAGUCCAAAGUCUCAUCUGAGACAAGGAGAGUCCUUUCCACCUAUGGGCCUGUAAAAUCAAAAGCAAGUUAGUUACUUCCAAGAUACAAUGGGGGUACAGGCAUAGGGUAAAUGUUCCCUUUCCAAGUGGGAGAAAUUGGCCAAAACAAAGGAGCCAGAGGCCCCGUGCAAGUCUGAAACUCAGCCAGGCAGUCAUUAUGUCUUAAAGCUCCCAAAUCUCCUUGGAUUUCAUGUCUCACAUCCAGGGCACACUGAUGCGAGGGGUGGACUCCCAAGACCUUGGGAAGCUCUGCCUCUGUGGCUCUGGAGGGUACAGCCCCUGCAGCUGCCUUCAUGGUCUGGUAUUGAAUGCCUGUGGCUUUUCCAAGCACAUGGUGCAAGCUGUCGGUGGAUCUACCAUCCUGGGGUCUGCAGUAUGGCAGACUUCUCACAGCUCCACUAGGCAGUGCCCCCAUGCAACCUCAAUAUUGGGGCUCCAACCCCACAUUUCCCCUUUGUAAUGCCCUAGCAGAGGUUCUCCAUGAGGGCUCCACCCCUCCAGCAGACAUUUGCCUGAACAUCCGGGCAUUUUUAUACAUCCUCUGAAAUCUAGGCAGAGGUUUCCAAAGCUCAACUCUUGUCUUCUGUGCACCCACAGGCGCAACAUCACAUGGAAGCCACCAAGGCUUGGGGCUUACACCCUCUGAAGCAACGGCCUGAGCUGUAUCUUGGCCCCUUUUAGCCAUGGCUGCAGCUGGAGUGGCUGGGGUGCAGGGCACCAAGCUCCAAAGCUGCACAGAGAGGAAGGGCCCUGGGCCCAACCCACAAAGCCAUUUUUCCGUGCUAAGCCUCUGGGCCUGUGAUAAGAGGGGCUUCUGUUAAGAUCUCUGACAUGCUCUGGAGAGAUUUUCCCCAUUGACUUGGCUAUUAACAUUUGGCUCCUUAUUACUUAUGCAAAUUUCUGCAACCAGCUUGAAUUCCUCCCCAGAAAAUGAGUUUUUUCUUUAUAGUCAGGCUGCAUAUUUCCCAAACCUUUAUACUCUGCUUCGCUUUUAAACAUAAGUUCCAAUUUGAAACCAUCUUUUUUUGAAUGCAUAUAACUGAAAACAUUCAGAACAAUACAGCUCACUUCUUGAAUGCUUCGCUGCUUAGAGAUUUCUUUUGCCAGAUACCCUAAAUUAUCUAUCUCAAGUUCAAAUUUCCACAGAUCUGUAGGGCCGGGGCAAAAUGCUGCCAUUCUCUUUGGUAAAGCAUAACAAGAAUUACCUUUAUUCCAUUUCUCAACAACUUCCUCAUCUCCAUCUGACACCACCUCAGCCUUGACUUCAUUGUCCAUAUCACUAUUAACAGUUUGGUCAAAACCAUUCAACAAGUCUGAAGAAGUUCCAUACUUUCCUAUACCUUCCUGUCUUCUUCUCAGCCCUCCAAACCGUUCGAACGUCUGCCUGUCACUUGGUUCCAAAUUUGCUUCCACAUUUUCAGGUUAUCUUUAUAGCAGUAUCCUACUCCUGUUACCAAUUCUCUGUAUUAAUUCAUUUUCACACUGCUAUAAAGAUACUACCUGAGAAUAGGUAAUUUACAAAUACAAGAGGCUUAACUGACUCACAGUUCUGCAUGGCUGGGGAAGCCUCAGAAAACUUGCAAUCAUGGCAGAAGGCAAAGGAGAAGCAAGAACCUUCUUCACAAGGCAACAGGAGAGAAAGAGAGAGCACAGGGAAAACUGCUAUUUUUUAAACCAUCAGAUCUCAUGAGAGCUUUCAUAUUAUCAUAAGAACAGCAUGGAGGAAACCGCCCCCAUGAUCUAAUCACUUCCCAUAAUGACCCUCCCUGGACACGUAGGAAUUACAUUUCAAGAUGAGAUUUGGGUGGGGAUACAGAGCCAACCCAAACCAUAUCACACAUAUUUUUGGGAAGUGGACAGUUGAUACACCAAUAAUUAAAGCAAUAAGAUAAAUGCAGAGACAGGAACCAGGCAACCCAGAAGAGGCAAUAUCUCAAUGCCUAGGGAUGAGAGAAUGAAAUUGAGGAGUCAAUUUGUCCUCUAGAUAUUGGUUACCAACUUUUUGCCUAGGACUAUUACAUUUUUAGCACUAUACAUUCUUUAACCCAGAAGCUCCUUCAGUUCCUGGCAAACUAGGUCAAUUGGUCACUCUAUCUAGACCUUCAGUGCCUAGCACAAACUUGUCCAACUUGUAGCCCGUGUGCUGCAUGUGGCCCAGGAUGGCUUCGGGUGUGGCCCAACACAAAUUCAUAAACUUUCUUGAAAGUUUAUGUGGUCUUUUUUUGUAAUUUUUUUUAACUCACUAGCUAUCUUUAGUGUUAAUAUAUGUUACGUGUGGCCCAAGACAGUUCUUCUUCUUCCAAUGUGGCCCAUGGAAACCAAAAGAUUGAACGCCCCGGCCUACCACUAUAUAUGGCACAAAGAUGGAAUCCAAAGGGUAUACUUAAUUAGUUGACAUAUGAUCUGAGUAAUCAUGAACAGUAAGUUUUAACCAAGCAUAUGGAAAAGGGAUUGCAAGGCUGUCUGGAGGAACAAUGCAGGCAGAAUUACUAAAGAACAUGGACAUGGUUUGAAAUUGUAAGUCAUCCUAUGUGAUGGAAGGAGCAGUGAGUACAGGAAAAGAGUUGGUGAUAAGACUGCAGAAAUAGACAUGGUUCAGAUGGUAAAAGUCAGGUUGAGGAGUAAGGGCUUUAUUUUAUCCUAUAGUCAAUAAGAGGAUUAAUAGAGAGGCAUUAACAGAGUCAGCUAGCUCUGAGAUAAUAUGAGCAUAGUAGGGAAGAAUCCAAAUUUCUUUACGUGUUUGUAUAUAGAGGCAUCUUUGUAUAUAUUUGCAUUUUGUAUAUUCAGGCAUUGGAAGAAUUGUCUGCCUGUUUCUGUUUCUGUUUUUGUUUUUAAUCAGGACCCCAUGUGUGACAGAAGAAAAAGUCUCAAGUUGGAGUUAAAAUUCUCCUGCAUCCUGAUCAGAUUCUGCUGCAUUCUCCAUGUGACCUCAGGUUUUGGUCUCAGGUCUGCUGUUAACUGCCGGUAUAACCCCAGGUAAGCCUCUUGAAUAUUCUGAGCCUGAAUCCCAGUUUUUAAUCUGUGAACUGAAGAAAGGUAAUUUUGUUUCACCCAUCUGUUGUUCUAUAAAUAAAUGAAUUAUGGUAAAUGUGCUUUGUAAACAAAAAUGUUAGCAGGGAUAUGAGACUUUAAAAAAGGACGAGAAAAGUUACAAAUUUUAAGUCAGAAGUUUGAUCUUCCACCUACAGGUUGGGAAAUGAUGGAUGAAGCAUCACUAGUAUCUUGGAGUAGUUCAGUUUCGCUCUGGAGACAGAGUGCCAAGGUCAAAUCACAGUACCACAUUUUACCAGCUAUGUGUGUGGCCUGAGGCAGGUUACUGAAUACAUUAUGUUUCAGUUUCCUCACCAGAUAAAUGUGGGUGAUAUUAAUUGGUUAUGAUAUUAACAUAAGAGGGUGAAUAUAUAUCAAUAGAGUCUAUAUUACAUAGUUGAUAUGAGUGUUAGCUGAGUUAAAAAUCUGCAAAGCCCUGUGAUCAGAGCCUGGCACGCUGACAUUUCUGAAUCCAUGGUAGUCAUUAUAUUUGCUUUGGUUACCUUUUCUGAAAUGAAAAAGAUUAGAAUACCUCUGCCUAGAGCAAAAUAUAAUAAAUUUUAAAAUACUUUGUCAACUUCAAAAGACAGUUCAAAUUUCAGUAGUAUGUAUGAAUAAAUACUGAUGAAAUACAUUUUGCUCAGCAGGGUGGAAUUCCUGGAUUUUGGGUCACACACACAUGCACACUUACACACAGAUGGCCAAACCCACUCACACACAUGGUUACAUACUCAGAGACACACAGACACAUGCACACACACACUCUCACACACAUGUACAAAUGCACUAGAGUUCUGAUCUGUCUCAGUACAAAAUCCACUUCCAUUUUUGAACGUGAAACCUGGAGGAAGAAGAACUAGGGUCUUCCAGAACAACCACAAUUUAAUUUGUUUUCAGGGAGUCCCCUAUCCCCCAGAGAUCAUUAAGCUACAAUUCAGAGUUAUUAAUCUCGAACAAGACAAGUCUUUUUCCUUUUUAGGUACUCAGUUAUUUCAAUUGUAAAAUGAAAAACUUGGUACAUAAGAGUCACUCUAUGAAUAUUUGUGGAAUGAAAUAAUUAAAUGAUCAAAAAGUAAAAUUAUGCAAAAUUAUUAUUGCUAUGAUGUGUUUAUUAUGACAAAAUCUUUCAAGGGUGCAUUUUUUAGAAAAAUUCUGUUAUGCAAUGAUUCCCGAAGUCAACCCAGCCACAAUUACCUUUUUUUCUGUAGAUUACUAAAAUAUUCAUAAAACUCAAUAGUCAGGAGCGAAUGUGUGUGAAAAAGUUUGUCCAUGAGACUCCAAGUCCUCUCUCUUGGGAAUCUCAGGCCUCUCAUUCAUACACUCAUUCAACAACUCUUUGCAGAAUACCUCCUUCGUAUCAAACACUGGCUGGUGGACAAUGACAGAAAAAUGAUAUCAACAGGUUCCUGAUUUUAAGGAGCACUCAGUCUAAAGGGAGAGUGGGAAGAUAUACAGUGGGUAUGGCAAAGACUUUCUGCAGUCGCUAACAUUUCAACUGAUGGGAAAAGUAAGCAGGAAUCCAUCAAGGUUUUAGGGUGUUCUGCCAGUGGGGGGCAGAUUGGCAGAGGCUUUGUUAAGAAAUGCUCUAUGUGUGCACCCAAACUGCAGGAGAAUUCCUGCCAUGGACCAUGGGCAGAAACUCAAGGACAUUGAGCCACAAAAUGCAAUAAAACUUAAAGCACUGUCUCUGACAAGAAAAAUAUGUGCUCACACCUAAUUGACCAAAGUAUGUCAUAUGGCCAAGGUCAAUGUCACAGGGUAAGUCACAUGUCAGGCGACCCAAUUGUUUAAUCUUAUUGCAGAAAAGGAGUAAAAAAUUGAGAAUAAAAAUAUAAUCUUCCAUAUUAAUUUUAUUAACAAGCUGAUAAUUUAGUAGGACCAAUGAGCUUUUAAUAGUAAUAGGAGGUGAGAUUAAAGCCUAAAGUAGAGACAACCCCUUGUGCAUAAACACAGUUCACACAGGUAAAAACCUGGGAGUUCUUUAACACUUUAUUUUCUCUUUUCCCCAAAAGUUAGCCAUUUUCUAAUUCAUGUGAAUUCCAUUUAUAACACUUAUAGUACUUAGCAAAGUAUCUGACACAGAGUUGGUAUUCAUUGUAUGUUUGGUAAAUGAAUGCAUGUAUGCUUGAAUAAAUACAUGGCCAUGCUGCCAGCCUUUUCUUGCAAAGUUUGUUUUAGAUUGGAUUCAAGCUUCUACAGCACCUGUGCUUAUCAACUGCGUCACACUAUUACAGUUCACAAUAAUUGUUUGUUCAUCCGCUUCUCAUUACACCAUACUCAUGGGCGAGGUCAGAGAAUGUGUCACCUCUCCCUAACCGAGGGCCUGGCACAGUGUUUGGCAUAUAAUAAGAGCUCAGCAAUGUUAUUUGAUUCCUAAUUAUCACUAGCAGCAUGAAUUUUUGACUACUUAACAUACAACUUAAGUCAAGAGGUGCUGAAUAACCACAGGUCACACAUUGAAUAAGUGUUAACACUAAAAUUUAUGACACAGUUUUUCUCCAAACUAGUCUUUAUACAGUACAUCAUAUUUAUUUCAGAGAUCAGCUAGAAGCUGAGAGAAAGCAUAUUUAAUAAACACAACAAAGACUAUAUAAAGAACUUAUACAAGUUUAAAAGAAAAACACAAACCCCAGGGAAAUAUGGACAGUUUGAAUAAGUUUGUCAUAAAAUAUAAAAAUAUGUAUGGUUUGUAGAAUAUGAGGGUAUAUCCAGCUCCAUUAGUGUUGAGAAAGAUGCAGUUUAAGACCAUGAUGUGCUACUAUAUUUUACAGUCAGUUGGUUAGUGAAAUUUCAAAAGUCUGACAAUAUCAGAUGCUAGAAAGAUACAAAUUUAUAGCAUAUCUUAUCUAUUACUGGUUGAUAUGUAAACUUGGCUGAAUCUCUUAAGAAAAUAGCUGAGUAUUGUAAACUUGUAUAUUCAAAUACUGAGAAAAGUACAUAUUUUACUUCUACAUGUAGAACCAAGGGAACCUUUUAAACAGGUUCACCAGAUAUGUGUCCACUAUCAUGCACAAAAUCUUUGAAACUAACAAAAACCUAUAAACAACCUAAUGCCAAUAGAGAGGAUAUGAGAUGAAUAAACUGUUGUAUAUUUACUAUUAUGGCCCUAAAAAUAAAUGUGGUAUAAUAAUAAUGAACAGUAUAGAUGAAUUACAAAAAUAUAUUCAAAUUUUAAAAAUACUUUGAAAAAUAUUAUGUAUGCUGUAAAUCCUUUUUAAAAAUAAAGUUGAACACAACUAUUAACAAACAAGUGCUUGCUUGAAAUGCCACACACAAAUAGGAAAACAAGGAAAUGAUGCACAGAGAAUUUUGGAUGGUGGUUACUUGAGAUGGGGUUACAUAAGAAAAAUAAAUGCAAGAGGACCCUAUACAGUUAUUGUUAAUGUUCUUCCUUAACUGUGGAUUCAUGGAUGUUUAUGACAUUAUUUCAAAUUAAUUGUAAUCACUUUUUGAAAAUUUGAAAAAGUGUAAUCCAUGGACCAAUGAUACAUUGCAUGGCCAAGGAUUAUAAAUAAUACAAUUGCACUUUAGAUCCAUUAACAAAAGAAGAAGACCUGAUUGAAUCCGAGUACCUAGGCUUAGAGUUAAAACAAAAUAUUGAUCUCGAGGAGAAAUUCUCUACCCCUUGAAAAUUUUCUUCAAGUAGGUCAAGUCCAGGUGUAAGAAGGAGACAGUCAAAUGGAGCACAAGAUAGGCCCAAGGAUUUGGGAUGCUCAAGUUGUGGGUCAGAGGCUGAUGAUACAAACAGGAAUCGGGAAGACACAAAGUAAUAUGGAGCAGGGCUGGACAGCAGUAUAGCUCUAGAAGACUGACAGUCACCAGCACACCCAUGGGAAAGGAGAGGUCAGAGAGGGCCAAUGGACCUGCUGGGUAAACAAUCAGGAUUUGAAGAUUCAAAACAAAUAAAGAAGAUGAUUGUAAAUACUGAACUAGAGUUCACAGAGAAGCUGUGCAGUGCACUGGAAUAAAUACUACAUUCUGGCUUCAACUCUGUUCCUGACUACUCUUAGGCUGUUAUGCAAAUCAUUUUCUCUGUAUAAGCCCCAGUUUCUUCCUAGGAUAACUUCCUCCAUUACAGAGGCUUUUGUGAAGCUCAAGUGAAAAAAUGUAUGUGGACAUGCUUUGGAAAUUACAAAAUGCCUAAUAAAGGUGAGAAGUUGGUAUUAUUUUGCUCACCGAAGACAUUGGAAAUAAAGUGAUCGUGAAAAAAUGUCAAGAUGCCCCUGAUAUUUUUAAGUACUCAUUCACCUGUCUGCCUCCACUAAUGGGUUAUAUGCUCUUAGAUUAUCGAGAUGUCAAUGUGUUCUCUGUAUACUCCUUGUAACUAUCUCAUUAGCUGAUUCCUUGUGGUCUACUAAGUAUUAAAGCAAUCAAUAAAAUAAUUGCAAACAACCUUAGUGCUGGCCUCUAUGUAAUCCAAUUUCCCAAUGACAGUGGUUUUAUAGCUAGAUCCCUUCCCCCCACCCUCCUUAUAGUUGGGACUCCAGCCUUUCUGAGAGAAAAAUCUAAUGAUACAAUUCAGUUUAAAAAUUCUCUUAAGCUCACUAAAGUCUAGAAGAACGAAAGCAUGAUAUUCAACACUGUUCAACAUAUUCUGUCUUCUCCCUACCUUUCCCAUCUUGUCUUCCACAAAGGCACACAGAGCCACCAAAUUCUAGAAAUGCUCCAUGCUCUUUUUAAGUCUUAAAAGCUUCACUGCUAUUCCUUGCACCUGGGAUUUUCUUGCCAUUUCUGACUCUACCUCUACCAAGUAAACUACAGUUUACUCAAACAGUCAAAGUUCACUCUACCUCUACCAAGUAAACUGCAGUUUACUCAAACAGUCAAAGUUCACACAUCUAUUUUCCUCACUAGCCCAAGACACAGUUUCACAAUCUUGUCUCUGCUGGAAACCACCACAUCUCAUGGAAUGAUGGGUGUGUGAGUGUUCUCGUGGCUAAAAUUACUUGUGUUUAUUUCUUAUGACCAGCACCUACUGGCAGUGCUUAGAAAGAGAAAACAUGCUCAAUAUAUGUUUAAUGCAAAGAUAGAAGAAAGAAUAUUACUUUUUCCAGUUGUAGUACAGGAGAUAUUCCUGGGAGGACAUCUGGGAAAGCAUUUCCUAUGGGUCUUUACACAAUGAUCCCCAUGGAGUAGAAGGAAAAAAACAUAUAAUAAUAUUUCAAGCUUCUCAAUUUUGCCCAGCCUUCAAGAGCUUAUUUCCUAUGGAACAUUGACUGUAUGGAGUUAAAUUAGAUUUUAUCAAAUAGUAAUUUGUCACAUAUGUAAUACAUGAAGGUGUGUGAUUGAUGUGGAAUCUUGAAAAAUCAUUCUAAUAUGUCAGAAGGACAAAUGGAUUAAUGAGAGGUAUAAUUUAUGGUCGUAGAUGCGGCUCUGUAUUAAGUUGGCAAAAUCAAAGCCUCACUUAAAGGUAAUCUACCUCACUCCAUUCUUAACUAAAGUGUCAUUGCCAGUAAGACCAGCAUAGUGGAAACAGCUCAAUUGUGUUGAAUUCAAGCUACUUAAUCGGCUUCCUUUGACUGAUUCUUCAGAGCAUUUGUUACUAUACUUGAUAAAUAUGUGACCCUGGAUGUUUUAUCACUUUAAUUUUUAUAUCACUAGAAAUAAAGUGUAUUUUAAUUUUUAAUAUUUAGGGCCAGGCUCACGUGUGUAAUCCCAGCACUUUGGGAGGCCAAGGCAGGUGGAUCACCUAAGGUCAGAAAUUUGAGACCAGCCUGGCUAACAUGGUGAAAUCCUGUCUCUACCAAAAAGUACAAAAAUUAGCUAGGUGUGGUGGUGCAUUCUUAUAGUCCCAGCCACUAGGGAACUUGAUGUGGGAGAAUUGCUUGAACCCAGGAGGAGGAGGCUGCAGUGAGCCUAGAUCGCACUACUGUACUUCAGCCUGGGCGACAGUGUGAGACACUGUCUCAAAUAAUAGUAAUAAAUAAUAAUAAUAAUGUUUAGUUUUAAUAUAACUAGAAAUGAAACUUCCCUUAGAACAUAAAUGUAUCUUUUCGCUGCCUUUUUUUUCCAUUUUAAGUCUAUAAGUUACUGCCAUGAACUAAAUUGUGUCUCUCCUAAAUUCAUAUGUUGAACCUCUAGCUCUCUGUGUGACUUUUUUGAAGAUAAAGUUUUUUUCUUUUUCUUUUUUGAUUUUUGUAGGUACAGUCUUUAAGAAGGUGAGGUAAAAUGAGGUCAUAAAAGUAGGUCCCUAACUGAGUAGAACUGGUGUUCUUAGAAGAAGAGGAAGAGAUACUAGAGCUCUCUCUCUCCCUAGUGUGCACACAGCAAAGGUCAGACAGAGUGGCCUCAUCAGACACCAACUCUGAAGGCACCUUGUUCUUGAACUUCUGACUUCCAGAACCGUGAGAAAAUAAAUUUCUGUUGUUUAACCCACUCAGUCUAUGGUAUUCUCUUAUGACAGAGUAAGUACACCAAUAUAGUUACAUAGAGUGGAAUACACAGAAUUUAAAUUUACAUUGCAAUAUGUUUUAACAUAUGCAUAUACUCAUAUAACCUCUCCCCAGUCAGAAGAGAACAUUUGCAACAUCUCGGAAAGCCUGGACUCUCUGCCACAUCCCAAGGCAGUCUGGCUUCAAACUCCCACCCAGGGGCAACUGCUACUCUGAUUUCUAUCUCCAUAAAUUAAGCUUUGCCUAUAAUAGAAUUUCAAAUAAAUGAAAUCUUACAAUACGUACUGUUUUGGUCAGAAUGUAUUAGCUCAACAUCACGUUUUUAAGAUUCACCCAUGUCAUUUCAUUCAUACAAAUAUUGAUAUUCCUGAAUGGUAUUUCAUUUUAUAAAUAUAUCAUCCUUUAUUUAUUCAUUGUCUUGUUAAUAGAUAUUUGAAUUAUUUUUAGUUUUAUUUUUAUAUUAUGAAUAAAGCUGCUCUGAACAUUCU
Molecule: long non-coding RNA, 12571 nt
Filed under: Homo sapiens (human)
Lineage: Eukaryota; Metazoa; Chordata; Mammalia; Primates; Hominidae
Description: HSALNT0069245
Source: RNAcentral